GAUGAACGCUAGCGACGGGCUUAACACAUGCAAGUCGCGGGGCAGCAUGGGGGUUGCUUGCGAUCGCCUGUGGCGACCGGCGCACGGGGGAGUAACCCUUAGCCACCCUGCCCUUCACUCCGGGUUAACCCGUCGAAAGUCGGCCAAAUCCGGUUAGUUUUCCUUUGUCGCCUUCUGGGUUUGGCGAAGGGUUUGGCGCGGAGGGGGGUGGGGUUGCGUUCUUUCAGCUGGUUGGUGGUGGGACGGCCUCGCGGCGCGGUGCUGGGUAGGGGUUCUGAGAGGAAGGUCCCCCACAGUGGAACUGAGACACGGGCCAGACGCAUACGGGAGGCAGGAGUGAGGAAUAGUAGUCAAGGGGCGUAAGCCUGACCCAGCCAAGUAGCGUGCAGGAUGACGGCUCUAUGGGUUGUAAACUGCUGUUAUGCGGGGAUAAAGUGGUCGACGUGUGGGUUUUUGACGGUACCGGAUGAAUAAGGACCGGCUAAUUACGUG
RNAcentral lists this ribosomal RNA (492 nucleotides) under uncultured bacterium. RNAcentral's name for it is "partial 16S ribosomal RNA". It matches the Rfam family "Bacterial small subunit ribosomal RNA", at positions 28 to 507 of the family's 1533-position model. The record is from RNAcentral.